GGGGACGCGUGGUUUCGACAGGGGAGGUUAGUUACGGAAUUGCGGGUUGAGCUUGCCGCUAAGCUCAUUAAUCCUGGUGGCAAAAUACAAUUGGCGAACGUGAACUCGUUCUCGCCGGCUAAAUAAAGCCAGCGCAUCCGCCGCGCUCCACCCCAACGGGCGCGGACCGGGUGCCGAAAGAUUGGGGUGCCGCGUCCUUGACGCCGAUACGGGAAGCGAAAGAAAAAUUGGCUGGCCCCUAAAGAUUCCGCCGGUUGAAGCUUAAAGGGCGAGAAACAAACAUCCGGCUAGACCUGUAGUAGAUUCCGGGCAAUCUUUUCUGGACGGGGAGUUCGACUCUCCCCCGUCUCCACCA
Molecule: non-coding RNA, 355 nt
Organism: Dehalogenimonas formicexedens
Lineage: Bacteria; Bacillati; Chloroflexota; Dehalococcoidia; Dehalococcoidales; Dehalococcoidaceae
Rfam family: transfer-messenger RNA
About the family: Bacterial tmRNA, also known as 10Sa RNA or SsrA, is named for its dual tRNA and mRNA-like properties. Its role is to liberate the mRNA from a stalled ribosome. To accomplish this part of the tmRNA is used as a reading frame that ends in a translation stop signal.
Source: Rfam